UAAUACGGAGGGUGCAAGCGUUAUCCGGAUUUAUUGGGUUUAAAGGGUCCGUAGGCUGAUUUGUAAGUCAGUGGUGAAAUCUCACAGCUCAACUGUGAAACUGCCAUUGAUACUGCAAGUCUUGAGUGUUGUUGAAGUAGCUGGAAUAAGUAGUGUAGCGGUGAAAUGCAUAGAUAUUACUUAGAACACCAAUUGCGAAGGCAGGUUACUAAGCAACAACUGACGCUGAUGGACGAAAGCGUGGGGAGCGAACAGGAUUAGAUACCCUGGUAGUCCACGCCGUAAACGAUGCUAACUCGUUUUUGGGCUUUCGGGUUCAGAGACUAAGCGAAAGUGAUAAGUUAGCCACCUGGGGAGUACGUUCGCAAGAAUG
This 373-nucleotide ribosomal RNA is filed under the name uncultured bacterium. RNAcentral's name for it is "bacterial SSU rRNA". It matches the Rfam family "Bacterial small subunit ribosomal RNA", at positions 521 to 896 of the family's 1533-position model. The record is from RNAcentral.